CAAGAAAUAGUUUAAUUAAAAUUUUAAUUUUGGAGAUUAAAGAUAAGAUAUUAUCUUUUUCUUGA
This 65-nucleotide transfer RNA is filed under the name Apriona germarii. RNAcentral describes it as "Apriona germari tRNA-Pro". The record is from RNAcentral. Lineage: Eukaryota; Metazoa; Arthropoda; Insecta; Coleoptera; Cerambycidae.